UGUGUAGACGGCGUAUUAAGUCAACUGUUAAAUUCUCCGGCCUAACCGGAGGUCAGCGGUAGAAACUGGUAUGCUAGAGGGUGAAAGAGAGAAGUGGAAUUCUCGGAGUAGCGGUAAAAUGCGUAGAUCUCGAGAGGAACACCGAUGGCGAAGGCAGCUUCUUGGUUCAUUCCUGACGUUGAGACACGAAAGCGUGGGGAGCAAACAGGAUUAGAUACCCUGGUAGUCC
RNAcentral lists this ribosomal RNA (229 nucleotides) under uncultured bacterium. RNAcentral describes it as "partial 16S ribosomal RNA". It matches the Rfam family "Bacterial small subunit ribosomal RNA", at positions 568 to 796 of the family's 1533-position model. The record is from RNAcentral.